CCCUUAGAUGUCCUGGGCCGCACGCGCGCUACACUGAUGCAUUCAACGAGUUUUACCUUGGCCGAGAGGCCUGGGCAAUCUUUUAAACCUGCAUCGUGAUAGGGAUAGAUUAUUGCAAUUAUUAAUCUUGAGCGAGGAAUUCCUAGUAAACGCAAAUCAUCAAUUUGCAUUGAUUACGUCCCUGCCCUUUGUACACACCGCCCGUCGCACCUACCGAUUGAAUGGUCCGGUGAAGCCUCGGGAUUGUGGCCAGUUCACUUUAUUGGGAGUUGGCUGUGAGAACUUGUCUAAACCUUAUCAUUUAGAGGAAGGUGAAGUCGUAACA
This 325-nucleotide ribosomal RNA is filed under the name uncultured eukaryote. RNAcentral describes it as "partial 18S ribosomal RNA". It matches the Rfam family "Eukaryotic small subunit ribosomal RNA", at positions 1470 to 1796 of the family's 1831-position model. The record is from RNAcentral.